CACGGGUUCAGAAAACCGCACGAAACAAAGAGUCGCCCCCCAUCCCAACGAAAUGAUGCUGUGACCUUUCCAGUCCCGCACGCUGCGGGGUUCCUGCUGUCAGCGCGUCUUACGGCCAGUGAUGCUCACUUAGACCACUUAGUUAACACGGUUUCUGCUCUUUCUCCACUAGAGAGAUCACAAGUUGGCAGAGAGGCA
Neogale vison (American mink) is the source of this 198-nucleotide long non-coding RNA. RefSeq lists it as uncharacterized. Lineage: Eukaryota; Metazoa; Chordata; Mammalia; Carnivora; Mustelidae. The transcript has 3 exons. The record is from RefSeq and is a predicted model, not a curated record.